CCAUGUUCCUGUUGCUCAUCUCAACACUGGGGAUAUUUGCCCUGCGAGACACCAGAGCUCAGUCAGUGACCCAGCCUGAUGUCCAUGUCACCGUCUCUGAAGGAGCCCGUCUGGAGCUGAGGUGCAACUAUUCCUCUAGUGUAAGUCCUUAUCUCUUCUGGUACGUGCAGUACCCCAGCCAAGGACUCCAGCUUCUCCUCAAGUACACAGCAGGGAACACCUUGGUUAAAGGCAUCAAAGGAUUUGAGGCUGAAUUUAAGCAGCGUGAAACCACCUUCCACCUGAGGAAAUACCCAGCUCUUGGCAGCGAUGCAGCCAAGUACUUCUGUGCUGUGAGUGACACAGUGCCUGGGACCGCAGGGGGAGCUGAGCACAAACCACCCCAUGAUAGGGGAGUUUUUGGAGACUGAUGGCCUCUUCCUGUGGUAUUUAUUAAAGAUCUCUUGUUAGAUGAUGACAAAUAAGGCAAAUAGAGCUGAGCAGACCCAGAUAUUUCUACAUAAUUCUACAACUCCAUUUCUGAUAAACCUUAUUUAGCAGAUUUUUACUUUUUGUAGAAACUACAUGACAAUAAAUAGUAUUACAGAAUGAUGGAGAAGAUAGUGUUCUGAUCAUAUAAUAAUCAGAUGCUCCAAGACUUGCCUUGAGGUUGACUGCUUUAAGGGGUUAACUAUAUAAGUUUUCAUUUACUGUUUCAUCUCUCAACCAACCCGGAAAACAAAACAUGAACUCCACAUGUUCUUUCCCUGAAAAGUUUGCCCGAUUAUUUCUUUUGUCAUUCACAGAUCAUUUUCUUGGAAUCCCCUCCACCCCCAGAUUUCACUGUGCUGGUCAGAAUGUGUCAGAAUAUUUUCUUUGAGUGUCAAUUCCUUUAUU
Molecule: non-coding RNA, 876 nt
Organism: Hyaena hyaena (striped hyena)
Lineage: Eukaryota; Metazoa; Chordata; Mammalia; Carnivora; Hyaenidae
Source: the annotation of a RefSeq genome assembly